AAUGAACGCUGGCGGCAGGCCUAACACAUGCAAGUCGAACGGAUCCUUCGGGAUUAGUGGCGGACGGGUGAGUAACGCGUGGGAACAUACCCAAAGGUACGGAAUAGCCUCGGGAAACUGGGGGUAAUACCGUAUGUGCUCGAAAGAGGAAAGAUUUAUCGCCUUUGGAUUGGCCCGCGUUGGAUUAGGUAGUUGGUGGGGUAAUGGCCUACCAAGCCGACGAUCCAUAGCUGGUUUGAGAGGAUGAUCAGCCACACUGGGACUGAGACACGGCCCAGACUACUACGGGAGGCAGCAGUGGGGAAUCUUAGACAAUGGGGGAAACCCUGAUCUAGCCAUGCCGCGUGAUCGAUGAAGGCCUUAGGGUUGUAAAGAUCUUUCAGGUGGGAAGAUAGUGACUGUACCACCAGAAGAAGCCCCGGCUAACUCCGUGCCAGCCGCCGCGGUAA
RNAcentral lists this ribosomal RNA (449 nucleotides) under uncultured bacterium. RNAcentral's name for it is "partial 16S ribosomal RNA". It matches the Rfam family "Bacterial small subunit ribosomal RNA", at positions 29 to 523 of the family's 1533-position model. The record is from RNAcentral.